GGUGGAAGCACAGCAAUGUGUGGAGCUGACGAAUACUAAUCGGUCGAGGGCUUAUCCUA
RNAcentral lists this ribosomal RNA (59 nucleotides) under Paenibacillus sp. Soil522. RNAcentral's name for it is "partial 23S ribosomal RNA". The record is from RNAcentral. Lineage: Bacteria; Bacillati; Bacillota; Bacilli; Caryophanales; Paenibacillaceae.